UCCAGACUCCUACGGGAGGCAGCAGUGGGGGAUAUUGCACAAUGGGGGGAACCCUGAUGCAGCGACGCCGCGUGGGUGAAGGAGCGUUUCGGCGCGUAAAGCCCUAUCGGCAGGGAAGAAGGAGGACGGUACCUGACUAAGAAGCCCCGGCCAACUACGUGCCAGCAGCCGCGGUAAUACGUAGGGGGCAAGCGUUAUCCGGAUUUACUGGGUGUAAAGGGGGCGCAGACGGCAGCGCAAGCCAGGAGUGAAAGCCCGGGGCCCAACCCCGGGACUGCUCUUGGAACUGCGCGGCUGGAGUGCAGGAGGGGCAGGCGGAAUUCCUGGUGUAGCGGUGAAAUGCGUAGAUAUCAGGAGGAACACCGGUGGCGAAGGCGGCCUGCUGGACUGCGACUGACGUUGAGGCCCGAAAGCGUGGGGAGCAAACAGGAUUAGAUACCCGAGUA
RNAcentral lists this ribosomal RNA (446 nucleotides) under uncultured bacterium. RNAcentral describes it as "partial 16S ribosomal RNA". It matches the Rfam family "Bacterial small subunit ribosomal RNA", at positions 330 to 792 of the family's 1533-position model. The record is from RNAcentral.